GUCAGUGGCGAUAGCACGUUGAAUGCAAUAGUUCCUAAUGGAUCACUGAAGUUAAGCAACGUUGCGCGUGGUUGGUAUCCAGAUGGGUGACCAUCUGGGUAAUCGCGUGCUGCUGAAU
RNAcentral lists this ribosomal RNA (118 nucleotides) under Diaphorina citri (Asian citrus psyllid). The record is from RNAcentral. Lineage: Eukaryota; Metazoa; Arthropoda; Insecta; Hemiptera; Psyllidae.